Molecule: ribosomal RNA, 502 nt
Filed under: uncultured bacterium
Lineage: Bacteria
Description: partial 16S ribosomal RNA
Rfam family: Bacterial small subunit ribosomal RNA
Source: RNAcentral
GAUGAACGCUAGCGGCAGGCCUAACAUAUGCAAGUCGAGGGGCAGCACAGAAACAGCAAUGUUUUGGUGGCGACCGGCGGACGGGUGCGUAACGCGUAUGCAACCUACCUUUAACAGGGGGAUAACGGAGAGAAAUUUCCACUAAUACCCCAUAACAUCGAUCAAGGCAUAUUGAUUGGUUGAAAACUCCGGUGGUUAAAGAUGGGCAUGCGUUGUAUUAGGUAGUUGGUGAGGUAACGGCUCACCAAGCCUACGAUACAUAGGGGGACUGAGAGGUUAGCCCCCCACACUGGUACUGAGACACGGACCAGACUCCUACGGGAGGCAGCAGUGAGGAAUAUUGGUCAAUGGGGGCAACCCUGAACCAGCCAUGCCGCGUGCAGGAAGACGGCUCUAUGAGUUGUAAACUGCUUUUAAACAGGGAUAAAGCACAGUAUGUAUACUGUGUUGAAGGUACUGUAAGAAUAAGGAUCGGCUAACUCCGUGCCAGCCGCCGCCGUAA